RNAcentral lists this ribosomal RNA (500 nucleotides) under uncultured bacterium. Its description in RNAcentral is "partial 16S ribosomal RNA". It matches the Rfam family "Bacterial small subunit ribosomal RNA", at positions 30 to 523 of the family's 1533-position model. The record is from RNAcentral.
AUUGAACGCUGGCGGAAUGCUUUACACAUGCAAGUCGAACGGCAGCACGGACUUCGGUCUGGUGGCGAGUGGCGAACGGGUGAGUAAUGUAUCGGAACGUGCCCAGUCGUGGGGGAUAACGUAGUGAAAAUUACGCUAAUACCGCAUACGAUCUAUGGAUGAAAGCGGGGGAUCGCAAGACCUCGCGCGAUUGGAGCGGCCGAUAUCAGAUUCGGUAGUUGGUGGGGUAAAGGCACACCAAGCCAACGAUCUGUAGCUGGUCUGAGAGGACGAACAGCCACACUGGAACUGAGACACGGUCCAGACUCCUACGGGAGGCAGCAGUGGGGAAUGUUGGACAAUGGGCGAAAGCCUGAUCCAGCCAUUCCGCGGGCAGGAUGAAGGCCCUCGGGUUGUAAACUGCUUUUGUACAGAACGAAAAGGUUUCUACUAAUACUAGGAGCUCAUGACGGUACUGUAAGAAUAAGCACCGGCUAACUACGUGCCAGCAGCCGCAGUAA